This 1226-nucleotide ribosomal RNA is filed under the name Bacillus pumilus. RNAcentral's name for it is "bacterial SSU rRNA". It matches the Rfam family "Bacterial small subunit ribosomal RNA", at positions 92 to 1305 of the family's 1533-position model. The record is from RNAcentral. Lineage: Bacteria; Bacillati; Bacillota; Bacilli; Caryophanales; Bacillaceae.
UUAGCGGCGGACGGGUGAGUAACACGUGGGUAACCUGCCUGUAAGACUGGGAUAACUCCGGGAAACCGGAGCUAAUACCGGAUAGUUCCUUGAACCGCAUGGUUCAAGGAUGAAAGACGGUUUCGGCUGUCACUUACAGAUGGACCCGCGGCGCAUUAGCUAGUUGGUGAGGUAACGGCUCACCAAGGCGACGAUGCGUAGCCGACCUGAGAGGGUGAUCGGCCACACUGGGACUGAGACACGGCCCAGACUCCUACGGGAGGCAGCAGUAGGGAAUCUUCCGCAAUGGACGAAAGUCUGACGGAGCAACGCCGCGUGAGUGAUGAAGGUUUUCGGAUCGUAAAGCUCUGUUGUUAGGGAAGAACAAGUGCAAGAGUAACUGCUUGCACCUUGACGGUACCUAACCAGAAAGCCACGGCUAACUACGUGCCAGCAGCCGCGGUAAUACGUAGGUGGCAAGCGUUGUCCGGAAUUAUUGGGCGUAAAGGGCUCGCAGGCGGUUUCUUAAGUCUGAUGUGAAAGCCCCCGGCUCAACCGGGGAGGGUCAUUGGAAACUGGGAAACUUGAGUGCAGAAGAGGAGAGUGGAAUUCCACGUGUAGCGGUGAAAUGCGUAGAGAUGUGGAGGAACACCAGUGGCGAAGGCGACUCUCUGGUCUGUAACUGACGCUGAGGAGCGAAAGCGUGGGGAGCGAACAGGAUUAGAUACCCUGGUAGUCCACGCCGUAAACGAUGAGUGCUAAGUGUUAGGGGGUUUCCGCCCCUUAGUGCUGCAGCUAACGCAUUAAGCACUCCGCCUGGGGAGUACGGUCGCAAGACUGAAACUCAAAGGAAUUGACGGGGGCCCGCACAAGCGGUGGAGCAUGUGGUUUAAUUCGAAGCAACGCGAAGAACCUUACCAGGUCUUGACAUCCUCUGACAACCCUAGAGAUAGGGCUUUCCCUUCGGGGACAGAGUGACAGGUGGUGCAUGGUUGUCGUCAGCUCGUGUCGUGAGAUGUUGGGUUAAGUCCCGCAACGAGCGCAACCCUUGAUCUUAGUUGCCAGCAUUCAGUUGGGCACUCUAAGGUGACUGCCGGUGACAAACCGGAGGAAGGUGGGGAUGACGUCAAAUCAUCAUGCCCCUUAUGACCUGGGCUACACACGUGCUACAAUGGACAGAACAAAGGGCUGCGAGACCGCAAGGUUUAGCCAAUCCCACAAAUCUGUUCUCAGUUCGGAUCGCAGUC